This 508-nucleotide ribosomal RNA is filed under the name Exema canadensis. Its description in RNAcentral is "partial 16S ribosomal RNA". It matches the Rfam family "Bacterial large subunit ribosomal RNA", at positions 1861 to 2600 of the family's 2925-position model. Lineage: Eukaryota; Metazoa; Arthropoda; Insecta; Coleoptera; Chrysomelidae. The record is from RNAcentral.
GUCCUUUUGAUUAUAAUUUAAGGUCGGGCCUGCCCAAUGAGUGAUUUAAUGGCCGCAGUAUUUUGACUGUGCAAAGGUAGCAUAAUCAUUAGUUUUUUAAAUGGAAUCUUGUAUGAAAGGUUUGAUGAGAAAAAAGCUGUCUCUAUUUUAAUAGUAGAAUUUUAUUUUUAAGUUAAAAAGCUUAAAUGCAUAUAAAAGACGAUAAGACCCUAUAGAGUUUGAUAAACUAUUUAUGUUAAUUUUGAGGGAGUUAUGAGGUGUAAAUAAUUUAUUUAGUUGGGGUGACUAUAAAAUUAAAUGAACUUUUAUUUUUAUUUGACAUAGAUUUAUGGAAAAGGUAUGAUCCAAAAAUUUUGAUUAUAAGAUAAAAUUACCUUAGGGAUAACAGCGUAAUUUUUUUUGAGAGUUCAAAUCGAUAAAAAAGAUUGCGACCUCGAUGUUGGAUUAAAAUUAAUUUCUGGUGCAGAAGCUAGAAUAAUUUGGUCUGUUCGACCAUUAAAAUUUUACA